UCUUGGUCCAUUUAGAGGAAGUAAAAGUCGUAACAAGGUUUCCGUAGGUGAACCUGCGGAAGGAUCAUUAACGAGUUGAACGGGGUUGUAGCUGGCCUUCACRGGCAUGUGCACACCUCACUCAUCCACUCUACACCUGUGCACUUACUGUGGGUUUCGAGAGGCCGCGCUUGCGUGGUUGAUCGGGCUCACGUCUAUUACAAACUCUUCAGUAUCAGAAUGUGUAUCGCGAUGUAACGCAUCUAUAUACAACUUUCAGCAACGGAUCUCUUGGCUCUCGCAUCGAUGAAGAACGCAGCGAAAUGCGAUAAGUAAUGUGAAUUGCAGAAUUCAGUGAAUCAUCGAAUCUUUGAACGCACCUUGCGCUCCUUGGUAUUCCGAGGAGCAUGCCUGUUUGAGUGUCGUGUAAUUCUCAACCUAUAAAUCCUUGUGGUUUUUAGGCUUGGACUUGGAGGCUUUUGCUGGCUUUACCGUCGGCUCCUCUUAAAUGCAUUAGCUUGAUUCCUUGCGGAUCGGCUCUCAGUGUGAUAAUUAUCUGCGCUGUGACCGUGAAGCGUUUGGCGAGCUUCUAACCGUCUCUUUGAGACAAACACUUUGACAUCUGACCUCAAAUCAGGUAGG
Molecule: ribosomal RNA, 621 nt
Filed under: Porogramme epimiltina
Lineage: Eukaryota; Fungi; Basidiomycota; Agaricomycetes; Polyporales; Polyporaceae
Description: eukaryotic LSU rRNA
Source: RNAcentral